GAUGAACGCUGGCGGCGUGCUUAACACAUGCAAGUCGAACGAUGAAGCCCAGCUUGCUGGGUGGAUUAGUGGCGAACGGGUGAGUAACACGUGAGUAACCUGCCCUUAACUCUGGGAUAAGCCUGGGAAACUGGGUCUAAUACCGGAUAGGAGCGUCCACCGCAUGGUGGGUGUUGGAAAGAUUUAUCGGUUUUGGAUGGACUCGCGGCCUAUCAGCUUGUUGGUGAGGUAAUGGCUCACCAAGGCGACGACGGGUAGCCGGCCUGAGAGGGUGACCGGCCACACUGGGACUGAGACACGGCCCAGACUCCUACGGGAGGCAGCAGUGGGGAAUAUUGCACAAUGGGCGCAAGCCUGAUGCAGCGACGCCGCGAGGGAUGACGGCCUUCGGGUUGUAAACCUCUUUCAGUAGGGAAGAAGCGAAAGUGACGGUACCUGCAGAAGAAGCACCGGCUAACUACGUG
This 464-nucleotide ribosomal RNA is filed under the name uncultured bacterium. Its description in RNAcentral is "partial 16S ribosomal RNA". It matches the Rfam family "Bacterial small subunit ribosomal RNA", at positions 28 to 507 of the family's 1533-position model. The record is from RNAcentral.